RNAcentral lists this ribosomal RNA (253 nucleotides) under uncultured bacterium. RNAcentral describes it as "partial 16S ribosomal RNA". It matches the Rfam family "Bacterial small subunit ribosomal RNA", at positions 524 to 776 of the family's 1533-position model. The record is from RNAcentral.
UACGGGGGGGGCAAGCGUUGUUCGGAAUUACUGGGCGUAAAGGGCUCGUAGGCGGCCAACUAAGUCAGACGUGAAAUCCCUCGGCUUAACCGGGGAACUGCGUCCGAUACUGGCGGGCUUGAAUUCGGGAGAGGGAUGUGGAAUUCCAGGUGUAGCGGUGAAAUGCGUAGAUAUCUGGAGGAACACCGGUGGCGAAGGCGGCAUCCUGGACCGACAUUGACGCUGAGGCGCGAAAGCCAGGGGAGCAAACGGG